This 124-nucleotide non-coding RNA is filed under the name Actinoplanes missouriensis. The record is from RNAcentral. Lineage: Bacteria; Bacillati; Actinomycetota; Actinomycetes; Micromonosporales; Micromonosporaceae.
GAGGAACCCGGUGCGAAUCCGGGACGGUCCCGCCACUGUGACCGGGGAGCGACCCGCAGCACAGCCACGGCUUCGACAGGGGCCGGAAGGCGCGGUGAUCGCCGAUCCGGGAGUCAGGAGACUC